Molecule: ribosomal RNA, 535 nt
Filed under: uncultured bacterium
Lineage: Bacteria
Description: bacterial SSU rRNA
Rfam family: Bacterial small subunit ribosomal RNA
Source: RNAcentral
ACUAAAUAGAUACCCAGGUAGUCCACGCUGUAAACGAUGAUAACUAGCUGUCCGGGCUCAUGGAGUUUGGGUGGCGCAGCUAACGCAUUAAGUUAUCCGCCUGGGGAGUACGGUCGCAAGAUUAAAACUCAAAGGAAUUGACGGGGGCCUGCACAAGCGGUGGAGCAUGUGGUUUAAUUCGAAGCAACGCGCAGAACCUUACCAACGUUUGACAUCCCUAUCGCGGUUACCAGAGAUGGUUUCCUUCAGUUCGGCUGGAUAGGUGACAGGUGCUGCAUGGCUGUCGUCAGCCCGUGUCGUGAGAUGUUGGGUUAAGUCCCGCAACGAGCGCAACCCUCGCCUUUAGUUGCCAGCAUUUAGUUGGGUACUCUAAAGGAACCGCCGGUGAUAAGCCGGAGGAAGGUGGGGAUGACGUCAAGUCCUCAUGGCCCUUACGCGUUGGGCUACACACGUGCUACAAUGGCGACUACAGUGGGCAGCUAUCCCGCGAGGGUGAGCUAAUCUCCAAAAGUCGUCUCAGUUCGGAUUGUUCUCU